CCUACGGGAGGCAGCAGUGGGGAAUAUUGCACAAUGGGGGAAACCCUGAUGCAGCGACGCCGCGUGAGUGAAGAAGUCUUUCGGUAUGUAAAGCUCUAUCAGCAGGGAAGAGAAUGACGGUACCUGAGUAAGUAGCCAUGGAAAACUACGUGCCGGCAGCCGCGGUACUACGCAGGCGGCAAGCGUUAUCCGGAUUUACUGGGUGUAAAGGGAGCGUAGACGGCGAAGAAAGUCGGAAGUGAAAGUCCGCGGCUCAACCGCGGAACUACUUUGGAACUUGUUUGCUGGAGUACAGGAGAGGUAAGCGGAAUUCGUGGUGUAGCGGUGAAAUGCGUAGAUAUUAGGAGGAACACCAGUGGCGAAGGCGGCUUACUGGACGGUAACUGACGUUGAGGCUCGAAAGCGUGGGGAGCAAACAGGAUUAGAUACCCCUGUAGUC
RNAcentral lists this ribosomal RNA (439 nucleotides) under uncultured bacterium. RNAcentral's name for it is "partial 16S ribosomal RNA". It matches the Rfam family "Bacterial small subunit ribosomal RNA", at positions 338 to 795 of the family's 1533-position model. The record is from RNAcentral.